This 478-nucleotide ribosomal RNA is filed under the name uncultured bacterium. RNAcentral describes it as "partial 16S ribosomal RNA". It matches the Rfam family "Bacterial small subunit ribosomal RNA", at positions 28 to 523 of the family's 1533-position model. The record is from RNAcentral.
GACGAACGCUGGCGGCGUGCUUAACACAUGCAAGUCGAACGGUAAGGCCCUUCGGGGUACACGAGUGGCGAACGGGUGAGUAACACGUGGGUGAUCUGCCCUGCACUUCGGGAUAAGCCUGGGAAACUGGGUCUAAUACCGGAUAGGACUCCGGACUGCAUGGUCUGGGGUGGAAAGCUUUUGCGGUGUGGGAUGGGCCCGCGGCCUAUCAGCUUGUUGGUGGGGUGAUGGCCUACCAAGGCGACGACGGGUAGCCGGCCUGAGAGGGUGACCGGCCAAACUGUGACUGAGAUACGGCCCAGACUCCUACGGGAGGCAGCAGUGGGGAAUAUUGCACAAUGGGCGCAAGCCUGAUGCAGCGACGCCGCGUGAGGGAUGACGGCCUUCGGGUUGUAAACCUCUUUCAGCAUCGACGAAGCGAAAGUGACGGUAGGUGCAGAAGAAGGACCGGCCAACUACGUGCCAGCCGCCGCGGUAA